RNAcentral lists this ribosomal RNA (195 nucleotides) under uncultured bacterium. Its description in RNAcentral is "partial small subunit ribosomal RNA". It matches the Rfam family "Bacterial small subunit ribosomal RNA", at positions 338 to 525 of the family's 1533-position model. The record is from RNAcentral.
CCUACGGGAGGCAGCAGUGGGGAAUAUUGGACAAUGGGGGGAACCCUGAUCCAGCCAUGCCGCGUGUGUGAAGAAGGCCUUUUGGUUGUAAAGCACUUUAAGCAGUGAAGAAGACUCUUCGGUUAAUACCCGGGGACGAUGACAUUAGCUGCAGAAUAAGCACCGGCUAACUCUGUGCCAGCAGCCGCGGUAAUA